RNAcentral lists this ribosomal RNA (446 nucleotides) under uncultured bacterium. Its description in RNAcentral is "partial 16S ribosomal RNA". It matches the Rfam family "Bacterial small subunit ribosomal RNA", at positions 338 to 795 of the family's 1533-position model. The record is from RNAcentral.
CCUACGGGUGGCAGCAGUCGAGAAUCAUUCACAAUGGGGGAAACCCUGAUGGUGCGACGCCGCGUGGGGGAAUGAAGGUCUUCGGAUUGUAAACCCCUGUCAUGUGGGAGCAAAUUAAAAAGAUAGCACCGCAAGAGGAAGAGACGGCUAACUCUGUGCCAGCAGCCGCGGUAAUACAGAGGUCGCAAGCGUGGUUCGGAAUCACUGGGCGUAAAGCGUGCGUAGGCUGUUUCGUAAGUUGUGUGUGAAAGGCGCGGGCUCAACCCGCGCACGGCCCAUGAUACUGGGAGACGAGAGUGAUGGAGGGGGAAACGGAAUUCUCGGUGUAGCAGUGAAAUGCGUAGAUAUCGGGAGGAACACUCGUGGCGAAGGCGGGUUCCUGGACAUUAACUGACGCUGAGGCACGAAGGCCAGGGGAGCGAAAGGGAUUAGAUACCCCGGUAGUC